AUUGAACGCUGGCGGAAUGCUUUACACAUGCAAGUCGAGCGGCAGCGCGGGGCAACCUGGCGGCGAGCGGCGAACGGGUGAGUAAUGCAUCGGAACGUACCCAGUCGUGGGGGAUAACUGUCCGAAAGGACAGCUAAUACCGCAUACGUCCUGAGGGAGAAAGCAGGGGAUCGCAAGACCUUGCGCUGAUUGAGCGGCCGAUAUCAGAUUAGCUAGUUGGUGAGGUAAAGGCUCACCAAGGCGACGAUCUGUAGCGGGUCUGAGAGGAUGAUCCGCCACACUGGAACUGAGACACGGUCCAGACUCCUACGGGAGGCAGCAGUGGGGAAUUUUGGACAAUGGGCGCAAGCCUGAUCCAGCCAUGCCGCGUGAGUGAAGAAGGCCUUCGGGUUGUAAAGCUCUUUCGGCCGGGAAGAAAUCGCACAGGUUAAUACCCUGUGUGGAUGACGGUACCGGAAUAAGAAGCACCGGCUAACUACGUG
Molecule: ribosomal RNA, 482 nt
Filed under: uncultured bacterium
Lineage: Bacteria
Description: bacterial SSU rRNA
Rfam family: Bacterial small subunit ribosomal RNA
Source: RNAcentral